RNAcentral lists this transfer RNA (73 nucleotides) under Vulcanimicrobiaceae bacterium. RNAcentral's name for it is "tRNA-Asn". It matches the Rfam family "tRNA". Rfam says of the family: Transfer RNA (tRNA) molecules are approximately 80 nucleotides in length. Their secondary structure includes four short double-helical elements and three loops (D, anti-codon, and T loops). The record is from RNAcentral. RNAcentral also lists the same sequence under 2 other names. Lineage: Bacteria; Bacillati; Vulcanimicrobiota; Vulcanimicrobiia; Vulcanimicrobiales; Vulcanimicrobiaceae.
UCCGAGUUAGCUCAGUUGGUAGAGCAGCUGACUGUUAAUCAGCGGGUCGCUGGUUCGAGUCCAGCACUCGGAG